Plodia interpunctella (Indianmeal moth) is the source of this 536-nucleotide long non-coding RNA. RefSeq lists it as uncharacterized. The transcript is spliced from 3 exons. NCBI's taxonomy places the organism in Eukaryota, Metazoa, Arthropoda, Insecta, Lepidoptera, Pyralidae. The record is from RefSeq and is a predicted model, not a curated record.
GGCUGCAGUGGGUUUGCUUUGACAAAAUUUAGCGCAUCGCCGCCUCGGGAGUCUACAGUUUGUCUGUGCGUCAUAGUCCGCUUUAUGGUUGGGAAUAAUUAUGAUACGACUAUCACAUUUUAUAGAAGCUAUCAUCGAAAAUGGAAAAUUCUAUUUAAUAUCAAAAAUCUAAAGAAUUUGAGUGGAGGUCGCGGCGGCAUGUUGCAUGAUUUGUGCGAGCGCCGAGCGCGGGGAUCGGGGGUCGAACCCGCGUCGAUCGCACGUGCUGAGUUAACGUGGCACAGCAACGAGAUGGCAACGGUCGUGAAGAAAUAUAAAAGGAAUAUUACAAUAAAAUUUUGGAGAUACCAUUUUAAUGGACUCAAUGGGCAGCGGACACAAUAUCCGGAAUAAAAUUAUGAUAAAUAUUAAACUAUUGGUAUUUAAGUGAUUUAUUACAAGCAUUACAAGCAUUUUGUAAUAUAGACCGGUUUAUAUAAAAUGUGAAAAUGGUUGAUUUGUUAAAUAAUAAAAUAUUGAUAAGAUGUCAAGCUGGU